Long non-coding RNA from Mus musculus (house mouse), 765 nucleotides. RefSeq annotates it as predicted gene, 33690. NCBI's taxonomy places the organism in Eukaryota, Metazoa, Chordata, Mammalia, Rodentia, Muridae. The transcript has 2 exons. The record is from RefSeq and is a predicted model, not a curated record.
CUAAUCUGUCCAAACAGCCUCCUUCUCCACCCCUCCCUCAUGAGCCGUGCUGUCUUUUACACGGAACCAAAGAGUUCCCAACUAAUGCACACAAAGGCUGACCUGCAGGAGAGUUAGCCUCAACUCUAUCUCCUUCAACACCUACCUAAGUUGGAAGAGUAAAGACCAGGAGAGUAUUAGCUUCGUCGGGGAUGCCUGCCACAGAGCGUGCCAAGUAGUCUGACGCCAACUGCCAAGCACAGCAGCACAGUGUGCCCAUGACUCAGAGUGAGACUCUGUCUCAACAGACAAAGACACAUGGGGAUGGAGGGAUGGCUCAGUGGUUAGAGUCAUUCCAUAAAAAUGACUAUGUAAGUCAUUUUCAGGGCACAGAGAAGGCCGGAGAGGACUGCACCAGGCUGAUGGUGCUCUGUGGUGUCAGGAACAGCACCCAUAGCACGCAGGUUCACGCAGGUUCACGGGAAAGCCCAUAGAAGACGACCUCUUUGACUUAAACAAUUGUGAUUGAAAUGCUUCUAAGACAAAUUGGUCUUUAAGGGACCACGAGAACAACCAUAAGAUUUUCUCAGAGGAUGCCUUCACACUCUGCAGGCGCAAGGAUAACCCUAGAAUUGUAUGCUCCGUGGUCUUUGCGUGACUUGAUAUGAUUUCUGUUGACACCUCUGCUAGGUUAUAUAUUUUUUCUGUUUAUUGGUGCUUGGUUCUAGAAAUAUGACUUCCUUUCUUUAAAAAAUAAUAAAAUUAUUAUCAUUAUUAUUAUUAUUA